This 67-nucleotide transfer RNA is filed under the name Marmota monax (woodchuck). RNAcentral describes it as "tRNA.Ala". The record is from RNAcentral. Lineage: Eukaryota; Metazoa; Chordata; Mammalia; Rodentia; Sciuridae.
GGAUUGUGGCUCAGCGGUAGAGCACUCGCCUAGCUCGGGCGAGACCUGGGUUCAAUCCUCAGCACCA